GAUGAACGCUGGCGGCGUGCCUAAUACAUGCCAGUCGAGCGAACAGACGAGGAGCUUGCUCCUCUGACGUUAGCGGCGGACGGGUGAGUAACACGUGGAUAACCUACCUAUAAGACUGGGAUAACUUCGGGAAACCGGAGCUAAUACCGGAUAAUAUGUUGAAUCGCAUGGUUCAACAGUGAAAGACGGUCUUGCUGUCACUUAUAGAUGGAUCCGCGCCGCAUUAGCUAGUUGGUAAGGUAACGGCUUACCAAGGCAACGAUGCGUAGCCGACCUGAGAGGGUGAUCGGCCACACUGGAACUGAGACACGGUCCAGACUCCUACGGGAGGCAGCAGUAGGGAAUCUUCCGCAAUGGGCGAAAGCCUGACGGAGCAACGCCGCGUGAGUGAAGAAGGUCUUCGGAUCGUAAAACUCUGUUAUUAGGGAAGAACAAAUGUGUAAGUAACUAUGCACGUCUUGACGGUACCUAAUCAGAAAGCCACGGCUAACUACGUG
Molecule: ribosomal RNA, 497 nt
Filed under: uncultured bacterium
Lineage: Bacteria
Description: partial 16S ribosomal RNA
Rfam family: Bacterial small subunit ribosomal RNA
Source: RNAcentral